This 460-nucleotide ribosomal RNA is filed under the name uncultured bacterium. Its description in RNAcentral is "bacterial SSU rRNA". It matches the Rfam family "Bacterial small subunit ribosomal RNA", at positions 339 to 791 of the family's 1533-position model. The record is from RNAcentral.
UUACGGGAGGCAGCAGUGGGGAAUUUUGGACAAUGGGGGCAACCCUGAUCCAGCCAUUCCGCGUGAGUGAAGAAGGCCUUCGGGUUGUAAAGCUCUUUCGGCAGGAACGAAACGGCGCGCUCUAACAUAGCGUGUCAAUGACGGUACCUGAAGAAGAAGCACCGGCUAACUACGUGCCAGCAGCCGCGGUAAUACGUAGGGUGCGAGCGUUAAUCGGAAUUACUGGGCGUAAAGCGUGCGCAGGCGGUUUUGUAAGACAGAUGUGAAAUCCCCGGGCUUAACCUGGGAACUGCGUUUGUGACUGCAAGACUCGAGUGUGGCAGAGGGGGGUGGAAUUCCACGUGUAGCAGUGAAAUGCGUAGAGAUGUGGAGGAACACCGAUGGCGAAGGCAGCCCCCUGGGUUAACACUGACGCUCAUGCACGAAAGCGUGGGUAGCAAACAGGAUUAGAUACCCCGGU